AAGGUGGCAAUUUUCUAGAAAGCGAGUUUUGUAAUUAACCGAAAUUGAAUCAUGCAAUGCUUUUUAAAGAGUUUACAGAUUUUGAAAUCCAAAGAAAGGUCUUCAUCCCCACACACAGGGAAUGCUUUUAAAGUUCUCUCAAAUAAUAUAUACGACUUCGAUCUGAAAUCAUAACAAUCAAUAUAUUUUUUACGAUCUUGGAAACUGUGAUGUGUUUUAAAUUGAUUUUAUGGCCACUGCCUUGGCCCUUUGGAGGUUUUAAAAGUGCGUUAUAAACUGCCAGCCAAUGGAGUUGAGCACAUUACUGCAAAGCAUUUACAAUGCACUUGACGCAACUUCUCGUCGGAAUGAUCUUUUUACUCGCCAUACCAUGCCACUAUGGAAAAAGAAUUUACGGCACAGAAGAGCAAACUAGCAUCAAAUAUCCAUGGACUCCGAAGACUUCAACGCACAAAACACCAUAUAAAAUAUCUGGAGAUAUUUGAACAAACAACAUUUAAAUAUAAAAUUAAAUUGGUCGUUUAAAUAAAUGUAAUGAAGAAUAAA
Long non-coding RNA from Drosophila subpulchrella, 546 nucleotides. RefSeq lists it as uncharacterized. The transcript is spliced from 2 exons. Lineage: Eukaryota; Metazoa; Arthropoda; Insecta; Diptera; Drosophilidae. The record is from RefSeq and is a predicted model, not a curated record.